This 416-nucleotide ribosomal RNA is filed under the name uncultured Acetatifactor sp. RNAcentral describes it as "bacterial SSU rRNA". It matches the Rfam family "Bacterial small subunit ribosomal RNA", at positions 349 to 782 of the family's 1533-position model. Lineage: Bacteria; Bacillati; Bacillota; Clostridia; Lachnospirales; Lachnospiraceae. The record is from RNAcentral.
CAGCAGUGGGGGAUAUUGCACAAUGGGGGAAACCCUGAUGCAGCGACGCCGCGUGAGUGAAGAAGUAUUUCGGUAUGUAAAGCUCUAUCAGCAGGGAAGAAGAUGACAGUACCUGACUAAGAAGCCCCGGCUAACUACGUGCCAGCAGCCGCGGUAAUACGUAGGGGGCAAGCGUUAUCCGGAUUUACUGGGUGUAAAGGGAGCGUAGACGGUUAUGUAAGUCUGGAGUGAAAGCCCGGGGCCCAACCCCGGGACUGCUUUGGAAACUGUGUAACUAGAGUACAGGAGGGGCAGGCGGAAUUCCUGGUGUAGCGGUGAAAUGCGUAGAUAUCAGGAGGAACACCGGCGGCGAAGGCGGCCUGCUGGACUGAAACUGACGUUGAGGCUCGAAAGCGUGGGGAGCAAACAGGAUUAGA